This 577-nucleotide long non-coding RNA is filed under the name Bos taurus (domestic cattle). RNAcentral's name for it is "long non-coding RNA NONBTAT005719". The record is from RNAcentral. Lineage: Eukaryota; Metazoa; Chordata; Mammalia; Artiodactyla; Bovidae.
CCUAAGUAGGUGAUUUUUAGGUAUCUUGUCUAUUUGUAUGACUCAUGACAGGCUGAGAAGGUGUGGGCUUCCCUUCAGCUGCCACUCCCUCCAUCAGGAGGAGUGGUUCUGCGGAGUUCGGAGUUCGGAGUUCGCUGUAUGUCUCCUCACCGCACCCAAGCUCCCGUCUGCAGCUCUCGGAGCACCUAUCAGCGCUGUAUGGGAAAAGAUGGCUUUCCUCAAUAGAAUGAGCUAAAGUUGGUCCUGGCCCAACCUUUAUGUGAAGUUGUCACCAGAACCAAAACAGGACCCUCCCACUCCCCAAUACCUUAGCUAUAAUCACCUAGCUAGAUAGGCUGCUGAAAAUAUAUAUUUAACCUACCUACAGCUAGAUCUUGGAAGGCCUGACCCAUGUACAGGUCACUGGAUAAGGUUGUUAAAGCAUGCCAUGGGCGCUGGGUAAAACAUUCUAAAUCUCCUUGUUAGUGGGAGAGGCUCAGUAACUGACAGCGGAUGAAAAAAACCUGUUAAUUGCGAACUUCCAACAUCAAGCCUAAUAAUGCUAAUAAUGGCUGUCCUCCAUUAUGCAACAGCCAUG